Molecule: ribosomal RNA, 331 nt
Filed under: uncultured bacterium
Lineage: Bacteria
Description: partial 16S ribosomal RNA
Rfam family: Bacterial small subunit ribosomal RNA
Source: RNAcentral
CCUACGGGCGGCAGCAGUGAGGAAUAUUGGUCAAUGGGCGCGAGCCUGAACCAGCCAAGUAGCGUGAAGGAUGACUGCCCUACGAGUUGUAAACUUCUUUUAUAAAGGAAUAAAGUGAGGAACGUGUGCCUUUUUGUAAGUACUUUAUGAAUAAGGAUCGGCUAACUCCGUGCCAGCAGCCGCGGUAAUACGGAGGAUUCAAGCGUUAUCCGGAUUUAUUGGGUUUAAAGGGGGCGUAGAUGGUUUGUUAAGUUAGUUGUGAAAGUUUGCGGCUCAACCUGGAAAUUGCAAUUGAUACUGGUAGGCUUGAGAACAGUUGCGGUAGGCGGAA